GACGAACGCUGGCGGCGUGCUUAACACAUGCAAGUCGAACGGAAAGGCCCUGCUUUUGUGGGGUGCUCGAGUGGCGAACGGGUGAGUAACACGUGAGUAACCUGCCCUUGACUUUGGGAUAACUUCAGGAAACUGGGGCUAAUACCGGAUAGGAGCUCCUGCUGCAUGGUGGGGGUUGGAAAGUGUCGGCGGUUGGGGAUGGACUCGCGGCUUAGCAGCUUGUUGGUGGGGUAGUGGCUUACCAAGGCUUUGACGGGUAGCCGGCCUGAGAGGGUGACCGGCCACAUUGGGGGUGAGAGACGGCCCAGACCCUUACGGGAGGGAGAAGUGGGGAAUAUUGCACAAAGGGCGGAAGCCGGAUGCAGCAACGCGGCGUGCGGGAUGACGGCCUUCGGGUGGUAAACCGCUUUCGCCUGUGACGAAGCGUGAGGGACGGUAAUGGGUAAAGAAGCACCGGCUACUACGUG
RNAcentral lists this ribosomal RNA (467 nucleotides) under uncultured bacterium. Its description in RNAcentral is "partial 16S ribosomal RNA". It matches the Rfam family "Bacterial small subunit ribosomal RNA", at positions 28 to 507 of the family's 1533-position model. The record is from RNAcentral.